UGCAAGUCGAACGAUGAACCGGUGCUUGCACUGGGGAUUAGUGGCGAACGGGUGAGUAACACGUGAGUAACCUGCCCUUAACUCUGGGAUAAGCCUUGGAAACGAGGUCUAAUACUGGAUAUUGACUUUUCCUCGCAUGGGGAUUGGUUGAAAGAUUUAUUGGUUUUGGAUGGACUCGCGGCCUAUCAGCUUGUUGGUGAGGUAAUGGCUCACCAAGGCGACGACGGGUAGCCGGCCUGAGAGGGUGACCGGCCACACUGGGACUGAGACACGGCCCAGACUCCUACGGGAGGCAGCAGUGGGGAAUAUUGCACAAUGGGCGAAAGCCUGAUGCAGCGACGCCGCGUGAGGGAUGACGGCCUUCGGGUUGUAAACCUCUUUCAGUAGGGAACAAGGCCAGACGUUGUCUGGUUGAGGGUACUUGCAGAAGAAGCGCCGGCUAACUACGUGCCAGCAGCCGCGGUAAUACGUAGGGCGCAAGCGUUAUCCGGAAUUAUUGGGCGUAAAGAGCUCGUAGGCGGUUUGUCGCGUCUGCCGUGAAAGUCCGGGGCUCAACUCCGGAUCUGCGGUGGGUACGGGCAGACUAGAGUGAUGUAGGGGAGACUGGAAUUCCUGGUGUAGCGGUGAAAUGCGCAGAUAUCAGGAGGAACACCGAUGGCGAAGGCAGGUCUCUGGGCAUUAACUGACGCUGAGGAGCGAAAGCAUGGGGAGCGAACAGGAUUAGAUACCCUGGUAGUCCAUGCCGUAAACGUUGGGCACUAGGUGUGGGGGACAUUCCACGUUUUCCGCGCCGUAGCUAACGCAUUAAGUGCCCCGCCUGGGGGAGUACGUCGCAGCUAAAACUCAAAGAAUUGACGGGGCCCGCACAAGCGCGAGCAUGCGAUAAUCGAUGCACGCGAGAUCUACUAGCUGACAUGGACUGGAACGCUGAACAGUGCCCCGCUGCGUCGGUACAGUGUGCAUGGUGUCGCCAGUCGUUCUGAAUGUGGUAGUCCCACGAGCCAACUCGUCUUGUGCAGACGUAUGGUGGGACUC
RNAcentral lists this ribosomal RNA (1035 nucleotides) under Arthrobacter sp. TSBY-41. RNAcentral describes it as "bacterial SSU rRNA". It matches the Rfam family "Bacterial small subunit ribosomal RNA", at positions 56 to 1100 of the family's 1533-position model. Lineage: Bacteria; Bacillati; Actinomycetota; Actinomycetes; Micrococcales; Micrococcaceae. The record is from RNAcentral.